Molecule: ribosomal RNA, 309 nt
Filed under: Escherichia coli
Lineage: Bacteria; Pseudomonadati; Pseudomonadota; Gammaproteobacteria; Enterobacterales; Enterobacteriaceae
Description: bacterial SSU rRNA
Rfam family: Bacterial small subunit ribosomal RNA
Source: RNAcentral
CUGAGAGGAUGACCAGCCACACUGGAACUGAGACACGGUCCAGACUCCUACGGGAGGCAGCAGUGGGGAAUAUUGCACAAUGGGCGCAAGCCUGAUGCAGCCAUGCCGCGUGUAUGAAGAAGGCCUUCGGGUUGUAAAGUACUUUCAGCGGGGAGGAAGGGAGUAAAGUUAAUACCUUUGCUCAUUGACGUUACCCGCAGAAGAAGCACCGGCUAACUCCGUGCCAGCAGCCGCGGUAAUACGGAGGGUGCAAGCGUUAAUCGGAAUUACUGGGCGUAAAGCGCACGCAGGCGGUUUGUUAAGUCAGAU